GAUGAACGCUGGCGGCGUGCCUAAUACAUGCAAGUCGAACGAGGUCCUUGCCUUCGGGUGAGGUCCUAGUGGCGAACGGGUGAGUAACACGUUGGUGACCUGCCCCGAAGAGGGGGACAACCCCGGGAAACUGGGGCUAAUACCCCAUGUGAUCCAGAGAGUUAGAGGUCUUUGGAUGAAAUGGAGCAAUCCGCUUCGGGAGGGGCCUGCGGCCUAUCAGCUAGUUGGUAGGGUAACGGCCUACCAAGGCGACGACGGGUAGGGGGCCUGAGAGGGUGAUCCCCCACACUGGAACUGAAACACGGACCAGACACCUACGGGUGGCAGCAGUAGGGAAUAUUGCCCAAUGGACGAAAGUCUGAGGCAGCAACGCCGCGUGCGCGAUGAAGGCCUUCGGUCGUAAG
This 404-nucleotide ribosomal RNA is filed under the name uncultured bacterium. RNAcentral describes it as "bacterial SSU rRNA". It matches the Rfam family "Bacterial small subunit ribosomal RNA", at positions 28 to 429 of the family's 1533-position model. The record is from RNAcentral.